AGGACGAACGCUGGCGGCGUGCUUAACACAUGCAAGUCGAGCGGAAAGGCCCUUCGGGGUACUCGAGCGGCGAACGGGUGAGUAACACGUGAGCAACCUGCCCUUAGCUCCGGGAUAGCUCCGGGAAACCGGAAUUAAUACCGGAUAUGACCUAGGCCGACAUCGGCUGUGGGUGGAAAGUUUUUCGGCUGGGGAUGGACUCGCGGCCUAUCAGCUUGUUGGUGGGGUAAUGGCCUACCAAGGCGACGACGGGUAGCCGGCCUGAGAGGGCGACCGGCCACACUGGGACUGAGACACGGCCCAGACUCCUACGGGAGGCAGCAGUGGGGAAUCUUGCGCAAUGGGCGAAAGCCUGACGCAGCGACGCCGCGUGGGGGAUGAAGGCCUUCGGGUUGUAACCCCGUUUCAGCAGGGACGAAGCGAAGUGACGGUACCUGCAGAAGAAGCGCCGGCUAACUACGCGCCAGCAGCCGC
This 474-nucleotide ribosomal RNA is filed under the name uncultured bacterium. Its description in RNAcentral is "SSU rRNA". It matches the Rfam family "Bacterial small subunit ribosomal RNA", at positions 26 to 518 of the family's 1533-position model. The record is from RNAcentral.